This 222-nucleotide ribosomal RNA is filed under the name uncultured bacterium. Its description in RNAcentral is "partial 16S ribosomal RNA". It matches the Rfam family "Bacterial small subunit ribosomal RNA", at positions 109 to 334 of the family's 1533-position model. The record is from RNAcentral.
AGUAAUGUAUGGGGAUCUGCCCGAUAGAGGGGGAUAACUACUGGAAACGGUGGCUAAUACCGCAUAAUGUCUACGGACCAAAGCAGGGGCUCUUCGGACCUUGCACUAUCGGAUGAACCCAUAUGGGAUUAGCUAGUAGGUGGGGUAAAGGCUCACCUAGGCGACGAUCUCUAGCCGGUCUGAGAGGAUGAUCAGCCACACUGGGACUGAGACACGGCCCAG